This 63-nucleotide transfer RNA is filed under the name Heterometrus longimanus. RNAcentral describes it as "tRNA-Lys". Lineage: Eukaryota; Metazoa; Arthropoda; Arachnida; Scorpiones; Scorpionidae. The record is from RNAcentral.
UACUAUGUGGCUGAAAUUAGGUAUUGGUCUCUUAAACCAAGUUAUAGUUUAUACUCGUAGUUG